RNAcentral lists this transfer RNA (67 nucleotides) under marine eukaryotic metagenome. It matches the Rfam family "tRNA", at positions 5 to 66 of the family's 71-position model. Rfam says of the family: Transfer RNA (tRNA) molecules are approximately 80 nucleotides in length. Their secondary structure includes four short double-helical elements and three loops (D, anti-codon, and T loops). The record is from RNAcentral.
CCGUAGUUCAACUGGAUAGAGCAUCGGCCUUCGAAGCCGAGAGUUGUAGGUUCGAGUCCUACCGGGU